This is a Y RNA of Callithrix jacchus (white-tufted-ear marmoset), 102 nucleotides long. It matches the Rfam family "Y RNA". Rfam says of the family: Y RNAs are components of the Ro ribonucleoprotein particle (Ro RNP), in association with Ro60 and La proteins. The Y RNAs and Ro60 and La proteins are well conserved, but the function of the Ro RNP is not known. NCBI's taxonomy places the organism in Eukaryota, Metazoa, Chordata, Mammalia, Primates, Cebidae. The record is from Ensembl.
GGCUGGUCCGAGUGCAGUGGUGUUUACAACUAAUUGAUUACAACCAGUUACAGAUUUCCUUGUUCCUUCUGCAUUCCCACUGCUUCGCUUGACUAGCGUUUU